UGAUGACGAGGCGCUAAGGCGUUGAAGCAGUGUAUGUCAGACUUCCAAGAAAAGCUCGCAAUGUCACAAAUAAAAAGUGCCUGUACCAUAACCGACACAGGUGGGUAGGUAGAGUAUACUAAGGGGCGCGAGAUAACUCUCUCUAAGGAACUCGGCAAAAUGACUCCGUAACUUCGGGAGAAGGAGUGCCUUAUUUAUAAGGUUGCAAUAACAAGAUCCAAGCAACUGUUUAUCAAAAACACAGGUCUCCGCUAAGUCGUAAGACGAUGUAUGGGGGCUGACGCCUGCCCAGUGCCAGAAGGUUAAAGAAGUUGGUUAGUGUAUGCGAAGCUGAUGACUGAAGCCCUGGUGAACGGCGGCCGUAACUAUAACGGUCCUAAGGUAGCGAAAUUCCUUGUCGGGUAAGUUCCGACCCGCACGAAAGGCGUAAUGAUUUGGAUACUGUCUCGGAGAGAGGCUCGGUGAAAUAGACUUGUCUGUGAAGAUGCGGACUACCUGCACCAGGACAGAAAGACCCUAUGAAGCUUUACUGUAACUUGAAAUUGGAAUUGGACUUUGCUUGCGCAGUAUAGGUGGGAAGCGUUGAAAAUAUUCUUGCGGGAGUAUUGGAGCUAUCAGUGAGAUACCACUCUUGUAAUGUUAGAUUUCUAACUUUGAACCAUAAUCUGGUCAAAGAACAGUUUCAGGUGGGCAGUUUGACUGGGGCGGUCGCCUCCCAAAUGGUAACGGAGGCGUACAAAGGUUUCCUCUGAACGGAUAGAAAUCGUAUCUAGAGUGUAAAGGCAUAAGGAAGCUUGACUGUGAGACCUACAAGUCGAGCAGGGACGAAAGUCGGUCUUAGUGAUCUGACGGUACUGAGUGGAAAGGCCGUCACUCAACGGAUAAAAGUUACUCUAGGAUAACAGGCUGAUCUCCCCCAAGAGUUCACAUCGACGGGGAGGUUUGGCACCUCGAUGUCGGCUCAUCGCAUCCUGGGGCGGUAGUACGUCCCAAGGGUUGGGCUGUUCGCCCAUGAAAGCGGUACGCGAGCUGGGUUCAGAACGUCGUGAGACAGUUCGGUCCAUAUCCGGUGUAGGCGCUAGAAUAUUGAGAGGAGCCUUCUUUAGUACGAGAGGACCGAGAAGGACACACCGCUGGUGUACCAGUUAUCGUGCCAACGGUAAACGCUGGGUAGCUAUGUGUGGAGUGGAUAACCGCUGAAAGCAUCUAAGUGGGAAGCCCACCUCGAGAUGAGUAUUCAC
This 1241-nucleotide ribosomal RNA is filed under the name metagenome. Its description in RNAcentral is "bacterial LSU rRNA". It matches the Rfam family "Bacterial large subunit ribosomal RNA", at positions 1564 to 2815 of the family's 2925-position model. The record is from RNAcentral.